GCGGAUGUAGCUCAACUGGGAGAGCGCCGGAUAUAAUCCGGAGGUUGUGGGUUCGAGUCCCGUCGUCUGCACCA
This 74-nucleotide transfer RNA is filed under the name Mesorhizobium sp. RNAcentral's name for it is "tRNA-Tyr". It matches the Rfam family "tRNA". From Rfam's summary of the family: Transfer RNA (tRNA) molecules are approximately 80 nucleotides in length. Their secondary structure includes four short double-helical elements and three loops (D, anti-codon, and T loops). Further hydrogen bonds mediate the characteristic L-shaped molecular structure. tRNAs have two regions of fundamental functional importance: the anti-codon, which is responsible for specific mRNA codon recognition, and the 3' end, to which the tRNAs corresponding amino acid is attached (by aminoacyl-tRNA synthetases). tRNAs cope with the degeneracy of the genetic code in two manners: having more than one tRNA (with a specific anti-codon) for a particular amino acid; and 'wobble' base-pairing, i.e. permitting non-standard base-pairing at the 3rd anti-codon position. The record is from RNAcentral. Lineage: Bacteria; Pseudomonadati; Pseudomonadota; Alphaproteobacteria; Hyphomicrobiales; Phyllobacteriaceae.